RNAcentral lists this transfer RNA (72 nucleotides) under Ipomoea nil (Japanese morning glory). It matches the Rfam family "tRNA". Rfam says of the family: Transfer RNA (tRNA) molecules are approximately 80 nucleotides in length. Their secondary structure includes four short double-helical elements and three loops (D, anti-codon, and T loops). Lineage: Eukaryota; Viridiplantae; Streptophyta; Magnoliopsida; Solanales; Convolvulaceae. The record is from Rfam by way of RNAcentral.
GCCUUCUUAGCUCAGUGGUAGAGCGCGUGGCUUUUAACCAUGUGGUCGUGGGUUCAAUCCCCACAGACGGUG